Molecule: ribosomal RNA, 301 nt
Filed under: uncultured bacterium
Lineage: Bacteria
Description: partial 16S ribosomal RNA
Rfam family: Bacterial small subunit ribosomal RNA
Source: RNAcentral
CAGUAGCCACGGGAAUACGUAGUUGGCAAGCGUUGCCCGGAAUUAUUGGGCGUAAAGGGCUCGCAGGCGGUUUCUUAAGUCUGAUGUGAAAGCCCCCGGCUCAACCGGGGAGGGUCAUUGGAAACUGGGAAACUUGAGUGCAGAAGAGGAGAGUGGAAUUCCACGUGUAGCGGUGAAAUGCGUAGAGAUGUGGAGGAACACCAGUGGCGAAGGCGACUCUCUGGUCUGUAACUGACGCUGAGGAGCGAAAGCGUUGGGAGCGAACAGGAUUAGAGACCCCUGUAGUCCCUGUCUCUUAUAC